UACGGGGGGAGCAAGCGUUGUUCGGAUUUACUGGGCGUAAAGAGCGCGUAGGCGGCGCAACAAGUCACUUGUGAAAUCUCCGGGCUUAACCCGGAGCGGCCAAGUGAUACUGUCGUGCUAGAGUGCGGAAGGGGCUACUGGAAUUCUCGGUGUAGCGGUGAAAUGCGUAGAUAUCGAGAGGAACACCUGCGGCGAAGGCGGGUAGCUGGGCCGACACUGACGCUGAUGCGCGAAAGCCAGGGGAGCGAACGGG
Molecule: ribosomal RNA, 253 nt
Filed under: uncultured bacterium
Lineage: Bacteria
Description: partial 16S ribosomal RNA
Rfam family: Bacterial small subunit ribosomal RNA
Source: RNAcentral